This 1556-nucleotide unclassified non-coding RNA is filed under the name Leishmania donovani. RNAcentral describes it as "gene:LdHU3.13.1460(CDS-product:XPA-interacting_pr otein_putative)". Lineage: Eukaryota; Euglenozoa; Kinetoplastea; Trypanosomatida; Trypanosomatidae. The record is from RNAcentral.
UGCAGCAACCUUCAGCCUCCUCAGUCGCCGUCCCCUUCGACAUACACACACACAUUUCUCUGUGUAUACUGCGUUCUCGGCCCAUCAUCUCCCUGCAUCAUGGUCGACACAUCUUCGUCUGCCGCGGCCUCAGCCUCGCCAGCCGUCACGACCUCUGCCGACGCGACAACGCCGGUGGUGAUCCUUGUGGUAGGCAUGGCCGGUACUGGCAAAACAACGCUGGUGCAUCGCAUGCAGCACUACGCCCACACGAGCGGCAUCCGCUCGUACUUCAUCAAUCUCGACCCCGCCGUGACCCACACCCCGUAUAACGUGAACAUCGACAUCCGUGACAGCGUGCAGUAUGGGGAGGUCAUGAAGAACUACCGGCUGGGCCCGAACGGCGCCAUCAUGACGUCGCUGAACCUCUUCGCCACAAAGAUUCACCAGGUCGUGUCGCUGCUGGAGAAGAAGAAGGAGACGCUGGACUGGAUCAUCGUGGACACACCUGGCCAGAUUGAGGUGUUCACAUGGUCCGCCUCAGGGCAUCUCAUCGCGGAUUCCUUUGGCGCUGUGCUCCCCACGGUGCUCCUCUUUGUCGCGGACACGGUGCGUUGUGUGAGCAGCCCGCAAACCUUCGUGUCGACCAUGUUGUACUCGAGCGGCAUCAUGCUCAAGCAGCAGGUGCCCCUCGUCGUGGUGUUCAACAAGACCGACGUGGUGUCUGCAGACUCGGUGAUUGCGUGGAUGCGGGACAACGACGCGCUCGACGAGGCCGUGACCAACCCCCGUCGCAGCAAUCAGAGCAGACGCGCCGUCUCCGGAGAGCCCGGCGAUGGCGAGGACGCCGACUGGAGGGGCGAGGGCACGCGCAUCGGGGUGGCCGCGCUCGGCUCCCAGGACGUGCUGCUCGCCAACCAGGGGAACAGCUAUGCGGGGACACUGGCGCAGUCUAUGUCUCUGUUUCUGCAUGAGUUCUACGAAGACUUACCGUACGCGGCAGUAUCGGCGGCAUCGGGUGCGGGCAUGAGCGAGCUCGCAGCCUCCAUUGAGCGGGGCAAGCAACAAGCACUGGAGGCAAAGGCAGCGCGUAGUGCACACUGAAGAACUCUUCGGAGGUGGUGUGUCGUUCUCGGCGUGCCAUGCGCAUGAGGCUGCCCUCCCCCCUCCCCCUUGCAAUGCCGCCUUGUUGGAUUUCUUGUCUUGUAUAUAUAUAUAUAUGUGUUUGUGCUCCCUGUCUGCACAAGGCAAGGUAGCGCGUGUAGCCACCGCGUCAUGUCAAUACCGGUGCGCGGUGGCUACACAAUGCAUCGGAUCAUCACCUUUCUUAUGCGCGCGUGUGCCUGUAUGAGCAGGAGGUUGGCCUGAGGGGCAUGAGGAGCAUCUGGGGAAGUUACGAGACAGAGAAGCGACGCGUGCGUGGUAGUGCUUGCGCAUCUCUUGCUCUACGCAUCAUCGUACACAGAGGCCUACAGCUACACAGCGGCACAAGUGCGGUCGACCUUUUCUUUUCCGUCGACAGCGCGAUUGGCGUUUGAGGGGCCAGUCUUGAAGUGGUGCUCCGUAACAUCACAAGA